This 253-nucleotide ribosomal RNA is filed under the name uncultured bacterium. RNAcentral's name for it is "partial 16S ribosomal RNA". It matches the Rfam family "Bacterial small subunit ribosomal RNA", at positions 524 to 776 of the family's 1533-position model. The record is from RNAcentral.
UACGUAGGGGGCAAGCGUUGUCCGGAUUUAUUGGGCGUAAAGAGCGUGUAGGCGGCCAGACAGGUCCGUUGUGAAAACUCGAGGCUCAACCUCGAGAUGUCGAUGGAAACCGUCUGGCUAGGGUCCGGAAGAGGAGUGUGGAAUUCCUGGUGUAGCGGUGAAAUGCGCAGAUAUCAGGAAGAACACCUAUGGCGAAGGCGGCUCUCUGGGACGGUACUGACGCUGAGACGCGAAAGCGUGGGGAGCGAACAGG